CCCUUCCAUAUUGAUCGACAAUUUUUCUGAUCACCUACCGCCAAUCUGUGGGCCGUUUGACAUAGGCUUCAAACUCUCAGCGUAGGUUGAAGACAUUUCUCCAACUGCUUCGGUUGGAUGACGACGGAGCUUGAAGACAUUUCCCAAACCAAUCUACAACCAUCGGCAACGCACUUACCGAUCGGCAAGCUGACCACUGCACCUCCAUGAGCACUCACACAAUCUUCGAUGAUAGGCAACACCCUCAACAACACACUUUAGAUGCUCAUAUGACACGCGUGACGUAACACCUGCCAUUCGGCAAGUGUCGUGCUAAGCAUGCAGGAGGCGCUCGCACAAACACCUUCCAGGCCUAUCACCGC
RNAcentral lists this long non-coding RNA (362 nucleotides) under Prunus persica (peach). RNAcentral's name for it is "long non-coding RNA (PPER_LNC004929)". Lineage: Eukaryota; Viridiplantae; Streptophyta; Magnoliopsida; Rosales; Rosaceae. The record is from RNAcentral.